This 871-nucleotide unclassified non-coding RNA is filed under the name Hevea brasiliensis (rubber tree). Lineage: Eukaryota; Viridiplantae; Streptophyta; Magnoliopsida; Malpighiales; Euphorbiaceae. The record is from RNAcentral.
ACAAUAUUCACCCUAUCUAACUAACUUUUAGUUUCAAAACAGUCCAAAUACUCAACAUAUAUAUACAGACAUUUCAACCUUUUUUAUGAAAUUGAAAACCCUAACACCUCAAUUAUUACUAUCUCUUUCUAAACUAUGACUCGCCGGUUUAGAUUUCUGCUAACUUCGAACGCCUCCUCCACUUCGCCGGCGGCGGAAGAAGCGGAGCCACCGUCAGCCACGGCAGCGGAGUCCGACUUCAUUGUUAUACUUGCUGCUUUACUCUGUGCAGUAAUCUGUGUUUCUGGACUCAUCGUAGUAGCUCGUUGUACUUGGCUCCGGAGGGACCCGCCGGAAAAUCCACCGCCGGUGAAGAAUAAAGGAUUGAAGAAGAAAGUUCUCAAGUAUUUGCCGAAAUUCAAGUAUGAUCCGUCGAGCGGUGAGCUGCCGUUUGCGGCGGAGUGCGCGAUUUGUCUGGUGGAGUAUGUAGAGGGAGAUGAAAUUCGAGUGUUGCCGAAUUGUGGCCAUCGGUUUCACCUCCAGUGUGUGGACACGUGGCUUUUGACGAACUCGUCGUGCCCUUCCUGCCGGCAGAUUCUCGUAGUUGCUCGUGCUCGGUGCCGGAAGUGCGGGGAAGUUCCUGCAAUUUCCGGCGAAGCCUCCGACGGAGGUCAAAUUUUAACGGCGGUUUAGUCUACAACUUACGGUAAACGAGGUUAAUAUGAAAAAGUGGCCGGCCGGAGCAUCGUGGUAAGUGUAAAUUGGUAACGGUGUUGUUAUUUUCCGGUGAUGGAAAUGGGCCCCGCAUGAGGUCGAGGGAUAAGGCAUACUUUCCUUGUGAUUAUGAUGGGAGUGUUAGAAAGUGACAAAAAUGAAAUUAUGGCUGUUGGAG